RNAcentral lists this ribosomal RNA (581 nucleotides) under uncultured beta proteobacterium. RNAcentral describes it as "bacterial SSU rRNA". It matches the Rfam family "Bacterial small subunit ribosomal RNA", at positions 69 to 647 of the family's 1533-position model. The record is from RNAcentral. Lineage: Bacteria; Pseudomonadati; Pseudomonadota; Betaproteobacteria.
GUAACAGGUCUUCGGAUGCUGACGAGUGGCGAACGGGUGAGUAAUACAUCGGAACGUGCCCGAGAGUGGGGGAUAACGAAGCGAAAGCUUUGCUAAUACCGCAUACGAUCUCAGGAUGAAAGCAGGGGACCGCAAGGCCUUGCGCUCACGGAGCGGCCGAUGGCAGAUUAGGUAGUUGGUGGGAUAAAAGCUUACCAAGCCGACGAUCUGUAGCUGGUCUGAGAGGACGACCAGCCACACUGGGACUGAGACACGGCCCAGACUCCUACGGGAGGCAGCAGUGGGGAAUUUUGGACAAUGGGCGCAAGCCUGAUCCAGCCAUGCCGCGUGCAGGAUGAAGGCCUUCGGGUUGUAAACUGCUUUUGUACGGAACGAAAAGACUCCUUCUAAUAAAGGGGGUCCAUGACGGUACCGUAAGAAUAAGCACCGGCUAACUACGUGCCAGCAGCCGCGGUAAUACGUAGGGUGCGAGCGUUAAUCGGAAUUACUGGGCGUAAAGCGUGCGCAGGCGGUGAUGUAAGACAGAUGUGAAAUCCCCGGGCUCAACCUGGGAACUGCAUUUGUGACUGCAUCGCUGGAGU